AUCUUGUCUACUAUUUCUUUCCAAGUACGGAUGUUAAGGUGAUGGGCAUAGUCUAAGAUUUAUCCUGGAGAAUCAAUAGAACUUUGGUGCCAUCAAUUUCUAAGAAGAUAGAUUUGUUGAAGCCAGCAUAACUAUUCACAAGUAGAAGAGUUUAUGGGAACAGAAAAAAAGGACACUUGUGAAGAUAUUUAAGCAGCUAAUAGACCUCUGGGGAGGUCUGAACAGAAGCAGCAGUAGAACAUGGCACCCCUCUGAGUGACUGAGCAGCCCUAUUCAGGACCACACUGCUCACCUCACAGAAUGAGGAAGGGGCUAGAAAAGGUGCCCCCAACAUUGUCUGCUUUACCUCACCCUGGCCAGCAUGCCACACUGGCAGGGUCCUUUUUGACCACUGUAGUGGGAAAGAAAUCAAUCCUUUUCAAGGUGGGCACGUGGAAUGUAUGUACGUUGACUGAUGGAAACACCAACAGACCUGAAAGGAGAACUGCCCUCAUCGAGAGAGAACUGAGCAGAUACAAUGUCCAGAUUGCUGCUCUCUGUGAGACUCGCCUACACAACGAAGGGCAGCUCACGGAAGGAAAAGCUGGUUACAUGUUCUUCUGGAGUGGUCAUGGCACCAAAGCCAAAUGGGAAGCAGGUGCCAGUUUUGCUAUACAAAAUAGCCUCGUCAAGAAGCUGACCUACCUGCCUAAGGCAGUGAAUGACUGACUGAUGGUGCUCAGGCUCCCCCUGCUUGGCAAAAAGUGCACCACUAUCAUCAGUGUGUAUGCCCCUACCAGGACAACCAUAUUAUUAUUUUUUUUUUUUUUUUUUGUAACUAAAUACUUUGAGGCCCCAUCAAAUAAACUUGUGUUCACGUGGCAAUUUCUGUCAGGAAAGUAAUCCACUCUGAUUUUCUUUAUUUGUUUCUAUUAUAAAGAAUUCCCCAUGGAAACAGACUUCCUACAAUUUCACUGUAAA
Long non-coding RNA from Alligator mississippiensis (American alligator), 960 nucleotides. RefSeq lists it as uncharacterized. The transcript is spliced from 2 exons. Lineage: Eukaryota; Metazoa; Chordata; Crocodylia; Alligatoridae. The record is from RefSeq and is a predicted model, not a curated record.